ACAGUAAGCUGAAUGUCAUAUUUACCGGAUAGAUAGAAAAAUUUCUCAACCAGUCCAAGAAAAUCUAAAAUUAUCUCAAACUUCUUUUCAGAGUUCCCAACCAAAAAGAUAUGCUCAACACCGGUCUCAUGUCUCAACUUAAGAAAUGCCUGGUGUGGCUUAAAAGCAUGGCCAAGAGGAGUGGUCAAAUGAAAAGACAAGUGCAG
This 206-nucleotide unclassified non-coding RNA is filed under the name Hevea brasiliensis (rubber tree). Lineage: Eukaryota; Viridiplantae; Streptophyta; Magnoliopsida; Malpighiales; Euphorbiaceae. The record is from RNAcentral.